This 524-nucleotide ribosomal RNA is filed under the name uncultured bacterium. RNAcentral describes it as "partial 16S ribosomal RNA". It matches the Rfam family "Bacterial small subunit ribosomal RNA", at positions 28 to 523 of the family's 1533-position model. The record is from RNAcentral.
GACGAACGCUGGCGGCGUGCCAAAUACAUGCAAGUCGAGCGCAGGAAAUCAUCCGAACCCUUCGGGGGGACGUUGAUGGAAUGAGCGGCGGACGGGUGAGUAACACGUAAAGAACCUGCCCUCAGGUCUGGGAUAACCACGAGAAAUCGGGGCUAAUACCGGAUGGGUCAUCGGACCGCAUGGUCCGAGGAUGAAAGGCGCUUCGGCGUCGCCUGGGGAUGGCUUUGCGGUGCAUUAGCUAGUUGGUGGGGUAACGGCCCACCAAGGCGACGAUGCAUAGCCGACCUGAGAGGGUGAUCGGCCACACUGGGACUGAGACACGGCCCAGACUCCUACGGGAGGCAGCAGUAGGGAAUCUUCCACAAUGGACGAAAGUCUGAUGGAGCAACGCCGCGUGAACGAUGAAGGCCUUCGGGUCGUAAAGUUCUGUUGUAAGGGAAGAACAAGUGCCGCAGGCAAUGGCGGCACCUUGACGGUACCUUGCGAGAAAGCCACGGCUAACUACGUGCCAGCCGCCGCUGUAA